This 76-nucleotide transfer RNA is filed under the name Candidatus Erwinia haradaeae. Its description in RNAcentral is "transfer RNA Lysine". It matches the Rfam family "tRNA". From Rfam's summary of the family: Transfer RNA (tRNA) molecules are approximately 80 nucleotides in length. Their secondary structure includes four short double-helical elements and three loops (D, anti-codon, and T loops). Lineage: Bacteria; Pseudomonadati; Pseudomonadota; Gammaproteobacteria; Enterobacterales; Erwiniaceae. The record is from RNAcentral.
GGGUCGUUAGCUCAGUCGGUAGAGCAGUUGACUUUUAAUCAAUUGGUCGCAGGUUCGAAUCUUGCACGACCCAUCA